AUGGCGCGGCAAAUCGUGCCUUCUAGAAGCUUCCACAGCCUCCUCACCUCUCGGCACUACCCGCUCCCCUCCCCGGCGCCACCGCUCCGCCCUCUACUUCUACCGAAAGCCCUAUCUCGGGCCACCGCCGCCGCCACCCCGCAACUCCCUCGCCGGGGGCGACGUCCCGUCGUCGCCGCCUCCGCCUCCGCCCCAGCGCCUUCCUCGUCGGAGACCGAGGCGGUGCCGGGGGCAUGGGGGAAGGUCUCGGCCGUGCUGUUCGACAUGGACGGCGUGCUCUGCAACAGCGAGGAGCCGUCGCGUCGCGCCGCCGUGGACGUCUUCGCCGAGAUGGGCGUCGACGUCACCGUGGAUGACUUCAUCCCCUUCACGGGCACAGGUGAGGCCAAUUUCCUUGGAGGUGUUGCCAGGGUGAAAGGAGUGAAAGAUUUCAGUACUGAAAGCGCCAAGAAGCGCUUUUUUGAGAUAUACCUUGACAAGUAUGCUAAACCAAAUUCUGGAAUUGGGUUCCCAGGGGCUCUGGAACUCAUCAUGGAGUGCAAAAACGCAGGUCUGAAGGUCGCUGUUGCAUCUAGCGCUGAUAGGGUUAAGGUUGACGCAAAUCUGGUGGCUGCUGGUUUGCCUGUAUCGCUAUUUGAUGCUAUUGUUUCCGCUGAUGCUUUUGAAAAUUUAAAGCCUGCUCCAGACAUAUUCCUUGCAGCAUCUAAGAACUUAGGUGUUGACACAGAUGAGUGCAUCGUGAUAGAAGAUGCGCUUGCUGGAGUUCAAGCUGCGAAAGCUGCGGAAAUACGAUGUAUUGCUGUGACGACUUCUCUAGAUGAAGAUGCAUUACAACAAGCCAGUCCUGUGUUCAUCAGAAAAGACAUUGGAGAUAUUUCAAUUAAUGACAUCCUGUAUGGUGGUUCUAAUGCUUCCCACAUUGAUGCAGAUGAACGGACAGAAAAUACCGAGAAUAUUAGUUCCUUAGGAAAUGCUUCUCCUGAAAUUCUGAAUGGAGCAACUAAUGCUGAAUCUGUUGAGAAUACAAACUCUUCAAGUUCGAAAGACCAAGGGUUGUUGGGUUCUCGUCGGGAUAUAUUAAGAUAUGGAAGUCUUGGAAUAGCUUUUUCAUGUCUUUUCUUUACAAUCGGAAAUUGGAAGGCAAUGCAGUUCGCAUCUCCUAAAGGUCUGCUUAAUUUUCUUACGGGUGGGAACAGUUCAAUUUUUGCAACUAAUGAAGGAGAAUCACUGUCAUCAAGAGUUCAGCAAAUAAAGAAGUAUUUAGCUGAUUUUGAAACUGGGGGCUCUGCCACUUACGUACCUGAGUUCCCAAGAAAGCUCGACUGGUUGAAUACAGCCCCACUUCAGUUUGGAAGAGAUUUAAAAGGAAGAGUAGUCGUGUUGGAUUUUUGGACAUACUGCUGCAUCAACUGCAUGCAUGUCUUGCCAGACCUGGAGUUUAUAGAGAAGAAGUAUAAAGAUAAACCUUUCACUGUUGUUGGUGUUCAUUCUGCCAAAUUUGACAAUGAAAAAGAUCUUGAAGCCAUCCGCAGUGCUGUCCUGCGCUACAACGUUACUCAUCCAGUUGUAAAUGACGGUGACAUGUACUUGUGGAGAGAACUGGGGGUGAACUCUUGGCCGACGUUUGUGGUUGUCGCGCCCAAUGGAAAGGUUCUAGCACAAAUAUCAGGCGAAGGCCACAGAAAGGACCUUGAUGACGUAGUUGGUGCAGCACUUGAGUUUUAUGAUGAAAGGAAAUUACUACAGAAUAAUUCCCUCCCCUUGGCGUUGGAGAAGGACAGGGAUAGUCGAUUAAUAACUUCACCACUAAAGUUUCCUGGGAAACUUGCAAUUGAUGUACAGAACAAUCGAUUAUUUAUAUCAGACAGUAACCACAAUCGAAUUGUGGUCACUAACCUGGACGGGGAAUUUAUAUGCCAAGUUGGAAGUUCGGAAGAAGGACUACUUGAUGGUCAAUUUGAUACUGCCUCGUUUAAUCGCCCUCAAGGUCUUGCAUACAAUUUCAAAAAGAAUAUCCUAUAUGUAGCGGACACUGAGAACCAUGCACUGCGAGAGGUUGAUUUUGUUAAUGAGACUGUCAGAACACUAGCUGGAAAUGGGACCAAAGGUUCCGACUACGAAGGAGGAGGCCGAGGAACUAGUCAGGUUCUAAAUUCACCAUGGGAUGUCUGCUAUGCUCCCUCGGAGGAGACCGUGUACAUUGCGAUGGCGGGACAACAUCAAAUCUGGAAACACAACACCCUUAAUAGUGUAACUGAAGUUUUCAGUGGUAAUGGCUCCGAAAAAAAUCUGAAUGGUUCAAGCCCCACCAACACAUCGUUUGCGCAGCCAUCUGGGAUUUCAUUGGAUCCUGAAUUGCGGGAGUUAUUUGUUGCUGAUAGUGAAAGCAGUUCCAUUCGAGCUGUUAAUAUGAAGUCAGGGGGGUCAAGAUGGCUUGCUGGGGGAGAUCCAAAUUUUCCAGAUAAUUUGUUUAGGUUUGGCGAUCAUGAUGGGACUGGCUGGGAUGUGCUACUCCAGCAUCCCUUGGGUGUUGUCUAUGCUAGCGAUAAUCAAAUAUAUGUUGCAGAUUCUUAUAAUCACAAGAUAAAAAAGUUAGAUCCUGUCACAAAAAAAGUUACAACGAUUGCUGGUACCGGACGUGCAGGAUACAAGGAUGAUGAUGCCUUGUCAGCUCAACUAUCUGAGCCAGCUGGACUUGUUGAAGUUGGAGAAGGAAGAUUUCUUGUAGCAGAUACAAACAACAGUGCAAUCAGAUCUAUAGUUUUGAAUGAGAGAGGUGCUGAGGUGCGCACACUAGAUUUGACUGGAGUGCAGCCGCCAUCACCAAAACCGAAGGCGUUGAGACGCCUAAGACGACGGUUAUCAGCAGACACAAAUGUUAUUAAUGUUGAUGGUGGUUCCUCAAUGGAAGGAUAUGUGUCUCUUGCAAUCUCAAUUCCUGAUGGUUACCAUUUCUCAAAGGAAGCACGCAGCAAAUUUGAUGUGGAAACAGAACCAGCUAAUGCAAUUGAGAUCGAGCCAGUGAAUGGAUCUCUAAACUCAGAUGGGCAGGCGUCACUCAAGUUCAAAAGAACAUCAUCAUCAUCAUCAUCAACAGGAAGGAUCAACUGCAAGGUUUACUACUGCAAAGAAGACGAAGUUUGUCUUUACCAAUCUGUGGCUUUUGAUGUCAAAUUCCAAGAGGGGGUACCCAGUCCUGCACCAAUUACUCUAGCCUAUACUGUGGUGCCGAGAGAUAAUUCAGGUAGUUCGCAGUUAAUGGCUGCUGGUAAGAACUUAUAA
This 3282-nucleotide ribosomal RNA is filed under the name Triticum aestivum (bread wheat). RNAcentral describes it as "partial small subunit ribosomal RNA". The record is from RNAcentral. Lineage: Eukaryota; Viridiplantae; Streptophyta; Magnoliopsida; Poales; Poaceae.